This is a long non-coding RNA of Lemur catta (Ring-tailed lemur), 594 nucleotides long. RefSeq lists it as uncharacterized. The record is from RefSeq and is a predicted model, not a curated record. The transcript is spliced from 3 exons. Lineage: Eukaryota; Metazoa; Chordata; Mammalia; Primates; Lemuridae.
CUGUGUGGUAAAGGUGCCCUGCGACCCGCAGUGGAGACCUGACCUUGGUCCCUACUGUGACUAUCUCCUGCAGGGCCCUGAGCUGAGGCCACACCCUGAGAACUCAGAACUGAGGGAGCAGAUGGAGGAAGGGGAGCCGGCAGGUUGGGGGAUGAGAAUGACCGAAACAAGGACACGGGAACGGUGGUGCAGGUGGACACACACGGGUCACUGACGACCACUGCGGGGAGCCCCCUGGUGCCGGGCCUGAGUGGGAACCGUGAACACGGAGUUGGUGAAACCGUGUCCCAGCAUCCACGGAGCUCUCAGGCCGCUGGUGGGCCCUGGGUGACAACACUCCUGACCUCCCAGGACACCACCAGCAUCUGCCUCCAGGUCGUGUCAAGGUCAACAGAGCCAAGGUCUCCAGGGGGAGCUGCUGACUCCGUCAUGGCCACCUGGAGACAUCAUGAGGCCAGUUUAGUGGGACCCUCAAGUCCAUGUCUGCCAGAAAGGUGACGCUGGUCCCUGUUCUGGUGGAUAAUUACAUGUUUCCAUACCUUCCUAAUCUCCCAUCACAUCAAAAUUAAUUAAACGAUGACUCUAUUUUUAGAA